Molecule: ribosomal RNA, 465 nt
Filed under: uncultured bacterium
Lineage: Bacteria
Description: partial 16S ribosomal RNA
Rfam family: Bacterial small subunit ribosomal RNA
Source: RNAcentral
ACGAACGCUGGCGGCGUGCUUAACCCCUGCAAGUCGCACGGAAAGGCCCUGCUUGCAGGGUACUCGAGUGGCGAACGGGUGAGUAACACGUGGGUGAUCUGCCCUGCACUUCGGGAUAAGCUUGGGAAACUGGGUCUAAUACCGGAUAGGAGCCAUCUUUAGUGUGGUGGUUGGAAAGUUUUUUCGGUGUAGGAUGAGCUCGCGGCCUAUCAGCUUGUUGGUGGGGUAAUGGCCUACCAAGGCGGCGACGGGUAGCCGGCCUGAGAGGGGGUACGGCCACAUUGGGACUGAGAUACGGCCCAGACUCCUACGGGAGGCAGCAGUGGGGAAUAUUGCACAAUGGGCGCAAGCCUGAUGCAGCGACGCCGCGUGGGGGAUGAAGGCCUUCGGGUUGUAAACUCCUUUCGCUAGGGACGAAGCUUUUUUGUGACGGUACCUAGAUAAGAAGCACCGGCUAACUACGUG